AACUUGUGCACGAAUGCUCAUAGUAGUAGUAUUCAUAAUAGGCAAAAAAAAUGGAAACAAUCCGAAUGUCCAUCAACUGAUGAAUGGAUAAAUAAAAU
Ceratotherium simum simum (southern white rhinoceros) is the source of this 98-nucleotide non-coding RNA. The record is from RefSeq and is a predicted model, not a curated record. Lineage: Eukaryota; Metazoa; Chordata; Mammalia; Perissodactyla; Rhinocerotidae.